AUCACCAGCGAUAGUGCUGUGGGUGCAGACAGUUCCAAGAAAUCCCGGGGCCAGACAGAGUCUCAUCUGAAGGACGCAGGAGCCCAGCAGAGGCGCAUCAGUGCAGUCCGGGCAGCCUGCUGUCACACCCGUCUUGGGGCCUGCACCACCGUUAACUAAUCCUGAUGGCUGGCUGGUGAGACCCGAGGCUCCGAGUGCUCAGCUCUGCACCCGAGCUCCUGCAGGUCCCCUGGUCCCCGGACGCCUCCACGCAAGUGACCCCAGUCACGUCCUUCCUCGAGAACCCCAAGUGGGAGGCUCCCAACAUGGCGAGCCCACCCUGCUCACCAGCCACACGAGGCCGCCCGGCAUGGCAGUCAUUCAGGGACGCCCGUGCGGUUUCCUGGCCAGAUCUGCUGUCCCUGGACAGGGCUGGGGGAGCCGUCCCCACGUCUUCCCGAAACGACUUCCCUGGUGGUCCAGUGGUUAAGAAUCUGCCCGCCGAUGCAGGCAAUGAGGCUUCAGUCUCUGCUCAGGGAAGAUUCCACGUGCAGCAAGGCAGCUAAGCACGCGCGCCACGACUGAAAGCUGUGAGCCUGGAGCCCACGCUGGGCAAAAAAAAGGCCAGCACCACGAGAAGCCCCCGCAACCGCAACUAGAGUAAGACCACACGCGGCAAGGAAGACCCAGCACGGCCAAGAAACAAAUUAAAAACAACAAAAAAACCCACGAAGAAAAUCACGUGUAUCUACAGUGUAUUUGUUGCUGUUCAGUUGCUCAGUCCUGUCUGACUCUACGACCCCAUGGACUGCAGCGCGCCAGGCCUCCCUGUCCAUUACCAACUCCCGAAGCUUGCUCAAACUCCUGUCCACUGAGUUGGUGACGCCAUCCAACCAUCUCAUCCUCUGUCGUCCCCUUCUCCUGCCCUCAAUCUUUCCCAGCAUCAGGGUCUUUUCCAAUGACUCAGUUCUUCACAUCAGGUGGCCUAAGUACUGGAGCUUCAGCUUCAGCAUCAGUCCUUCCAGUGAAUAUUCAGGAUUGAAUUCUUUAGGAUGGACUGGUUGGAUCUCCUUGCAGUCCAAGGGACUCUCAAGAGUCUCCUCCAACACGACAGUUCAAAAGCAUAAAUUCUUUGAUAUCAGCUUUCCCUAUAGUCCAGCUCUCACAUCCAUACAUGACUACUGGAAAAACCAUAGCUUUGACUAUAGGGACAUUUUGUUGGCAAAGU
This is a long non-coding RNA of Bos taurus (domestic cattle), 1207 nucleotides long. Lineage: Eukaryota; Metazoa; Chordata; Mammalia; Artiodactyla; Bovidae. The record is from Ensembl.